This 446-nucleotide ribosomal RNA is filed under the name uncultured bacterium. Its description in RNAcentral is "SSU rRNA". It matches the Rfam family "Bacterial small subunit ribosomal RNA", at positions 26 to 518 of the family's 1533-position model. The record is from RNAcentral.
AGAGCGAACGCUGGCGGCAGGCUUAACACAUGCAAGUCGAGCGGGCGUAGCAAUACGUCAGCGGCAGACGGGUGAGUAACGCGUGGGAACAUACCUUUUGGUUCGGAACAACCCAGGGAAACUUGAGCUAAUACCGGAUACGCCCUUACGGGGAAAGAUUUAUUGCCGAAGGAACGGCCCGCGUCCGAUUAGCUAGUUGGUGAGGUAAUGGCUCACCAAGGCUACGAUCGGUAGCUGGUCUGAGAGGAUGACCAGCAUCACUGGGACUGAGACACGGCCCAGACUCCUACGGGAGGCAGCAGUGGGAAUAUGGACAAUGGGCGCAAGCCUGAUCCAGCCAUGCCGCGUGAGUGAUGACGGCCUUAGGGUUGUAAAGCUCUUUCACCCACGACGAUAAUGACGGUAGUGGGAGAAGACGCCCGGCUAACGUUCGCGCCAGCAGCCGC